UAACACGUAGGUNAUCUGCCCAUCAGACGGGGACAACGAUUGGAAACGAUCGCUAAUACCGGAUAGGACGAAAGUUUAAAGAUGCUCCUGGCAUCACUGAUGGAUGAGCCUGCGGCGCAUUAGCUAGUUGGUGGGGUAAAGGCCUACCAAGGCGACGAUGCGUAGCCGACCUGAGAGGGUGAACGGCCACACUGGGACUGAGACACGGCCCAGACUCCUACGGGAGGCAGCAGUAGGGAAUCUUCGGCAAUGGGCGAAAGCCUGACCGAGCAACGCCGCGUGAAUGAAGAAGGCCUUCGGGUUGUAAAAUUCUGUUAUAAGGGAAGAAAGGUGAUAGGAGGAAAUGACUAUCAAUUGACGGUACCUUAUGAGAAAGCCACGGCUAACUACGUGCCAGCAGCCGCGGUAAUACGUAGGUGGCAAGCGUUAUCCGGAAUUAUUGGGCGUAAAGAGCGCGCAGGUGGUUAAUUAAGUCUGAUGUGAAAGCCCACGGCUUAACCGUGGAGGGUCAUUGGAAACUGGUUGACUUGAGUGCAGAAGAGGGAAGUGGAAUUCCAUGUGUAGCGGUGAAAUGCGUAGAGAUAUGGAGGAACACCAGUGGCGAAGGCGGCUUCCUGGUCUGCAACUGACACUGAGGCGCGAAAGCGUGGGGAGCAAACAGGAU
This 664-nucleotide ribosomal RNA is filed under the name uncultured bacterium. RNAcentral's name for it is "bacterial SSU rRNA". It matches the Rfam family "Bacterial small subunit ribosomal RNA", at positions 111 to 778 of the family's 1533-position model. The record is from RNAcentral.